This 245-nucleotide long non-coding RNA is filed under the name Rattus norvegicus (Norway rat). Its description in RNAcentral is "long non-coding RNA NONRATT008396". The record is from RNAcentral. Lineage: Eukaryota; Metazoa; Chordata; Mammalia; Rodentia; Muridae.
AGCUUUGCUCUUCAGGCUAGGCUCCCUUGAGCAUACGCCUCUUCCAUCUCGGAGCAAAGACUGAGCAGGCUGAGGUGGCCCUCACCAAGCAAAGCAAUUCCAUGAGCUCCUCUCCCCUUCAGGUGCCAGGCGAAAGCCCUGCAUUGUGCCGGGUUCACUGAUUUGUUUAUAUGGUGGAUUACAUUUAUUGAUUUUUAUAUAUUGCACCAUCACUGCAUCUCUGGGAUGAAGUCUACUUGAUCAAG